AUUGAACGCUGGCUGCAUGCUUAACACAUGCAAGUCGAACGGUAACGCGAGGAGCUUGCUCCUUGGCGACGAGUGGCGGACGGGUGAGUAAUGCUUGGGAAUCUGCCCAGUAGUGGGGGACAACACGAGGAAACUCGUGCUAAUACCGCAUACGUCCUACGGGAAAAAGUGGGGGAUCUUCGGACCUCACGCUAUUGGAUGAGCCCAAGUCGGAUUAGCUUGUUGGUAGGGUAAUGGCCUACCAAGGCGACGAUCCGUAGCUGGUCUGAGAGGAUGACCAGCCACACUGGGACUGAGACACGGCCCAGACUCCUACGGGAGGCAGCAGUGGGGAAUAUUGGACAAUGGGGGCAACCCUGAUCCAGCCAUGCCGCGUGUGUGAAGAAGGCCUUCGGGUUGUAAAGCACUUUCAGUGGGGAAGAAAAGCCUAAGGAUAAUACCCUUGGGUCUUGACGGUACCUACAGAAGAAGCACCGGCUAAUUCCGUG
This 488-nucleotide ribosomal RNA is filed under the name uncultured bacterium. RNAcentral describes it as "bacterial SSU rRNA". It matches the Rfam family "Bacterial small subunit ribosomal RNA", at positions 30 to 507 of the family's 1533-position model. The record is from RNAcentral.